UACCCAGUCGAGCGGCGAACGGGUGAGUAACACGUGGAUAACCUGCCCUGAGGUGGGGGAUAACCCGGGGAAACUCGGGCUAAUACCGCAUGAUACCGAGAGGUCAAAGGGGGCUCGCAAGGGCUCUCGCCAUAGGAGGGGUCCGCGUCCGAUUAGCUAGUUGGUAGGGUAACGGCCUACCAAGGCGACGAUCGGUAGCCGGCCUGAGAGGGUGAUCGGCCACACUGGAACUGAGACACGGUCCAG
RNAcentral lists this ribosomal RNA (246 nucleotides) under uncultured bacterium. Its description in RNAcentral is "partial 16S ribosomal RNA". It matches the Rfam family "Bacterial small subunit ribosomal RNA", at positions 84 to 334 of the family's 1533-position model. The record is from RNAcentral.